AGUUGAUAUUUGCGGCGUAAAGAGUGGUUAAGGAAUACAAAAACUAGAGUCGAACGUCCCCUGGACUGUCAUACGUGUCCGGGGAGCAGAAGCCCAUAUACGAAGGUGGCUCUACAACCCCUGACCCCACGAAAGCUAGGGCACAAACUGGGAUUAGAUACCCCACUAUGCCUAGCCGUAAACAUUGGUAGGUAUUCACAACCCCUACCCGCCUGGACACUACGAGCACCAGCUUGAAAUCCAAAGGACUUGGCGGUGCUUUAGACCCCCCUAGAGGAGCCUGUCCUAGAACCGAUAAUCCCCGUUGGACCUCACCUUCUCUUGUUAACCCCGCCUAUAUACCGCCGUCGCAAGCUAACCCUGUGAAGGCCUAAUAGUCAGCACAAUUGGCAUAGCCAAGAACGUCAGGUCGAGGUGUAGCGUAUGGGAAGGGAAGAGAUGGGCUACAUUCUCUGCAUAGAGCAUACGGACGAUAUCAUGAAAACUAUUUCCGAAGGUGGAUUUAGCAGUAAGCAGGAAGCAGUCAGUCCCGCUGAAGCAGGCUCUAAAGCGCGCACACACCGCCCGUCAUUCUCCCCAACAAUCUCGACAAAACUACAUAAAAAACUAGAACAU
RNAcentral lists this ribosomal RNA (615 nucleotides) under Taenianotus triacanthus. RNAcentral's name for it is "partial small subunit ribosomal RNA". It matches the Rfam family "Bacterial small subunit ribosomal RNA", at positions 544 to 1448 of the family's 1533-position model. Lineage: Eukaryota; Metazoa; Chordata; Actinopteri; Perciformes; Scorpaenidae. The record is from RNAcentral.